AUCCAGACUCCUACGGGAGGCAGCAGUGGGGAAUAUUGCACAAUGGGGGAAACCCUGAUGCAGCGACGCCGCGUGAGCGAUGAAGUAUUUCGGUAUGUAAAGCUCUAUCAGCAGGGAAGAAAAUGACGGUACCUGACUAAGAAGCCCCGGCUAACUACGUGCCAGCAGCCGCGGUAAUACGUAGGGGGCAAGCGUUAUCCGGAUUUACUGGGUGUAAAGGGAGCGUAGACGGCAAUGCAAGCCAGAUGUGAAAGCCCGGGGCUCAACCCCGGGACUGCAUUUGGAACUGUGUAGCUGGAGUGUCGGAGAGGCAGGCGGAAUUCCUAGUGUAGCGGUGAAAUGCGUAGAUAUUAGGAGGAACACCAGUGGCGAAGGCGGCCUGCUGGACGAUGACUGACGUUGAGGCUCGAAAGCGUGGGGAGCAAACAGGAUUAGAUACCCCGGUA
RNAcentral lists this ribosomal RNA (446 nucleotides) under uncultured bacterium. RNAcentral's name for it is "partial 16S ribosomal RNA". It matches the Rfam family "Bacterial small subunit ribosomal RNA", at positions 329 to 792 of the family's 1533-position model. The record is from RNAcentral.